UCUCCGUAGGUGAACCUGCGGAGGGAUCAUUACAGAGUUCAUGCCCUACCGGGUAGAUCUCCCACCCUAUGUUAUUAUUACUUUGUUGCUUUGGCGGGCCGUUUGGCUCCGGCCCGACUACCGGCCCCGGCUGGUAAGCGCCCGCCAGAGGACCCAAAACCCUGAAUAUUAGUGUCGUCUGAGUACUAUAUAAUAGCUAAAACUUUCAACAACGGAUCUCUUGGUUCUG
This 229-nucleotide unclassified non-coding RNA is filed under the name plant metagenome. RNAcentral's name for it is "partial contains small subunit ribosomal RNA, internal transcribed spacer 1, and 5.8S ribosomal RNA". The record is from RNAcentral.